Molecule: small nuclear RNA, 98 nt
Filed under: Selaginella moellendorffii
Lineage: Eukaryota; Viridiplantae; Streptophyta; Lycopodiopsida; Selaginellales; Selaginellaceae
Source: RNAcentral
UGUCUAUUUGGAGAAUAAAAUUGGAAUGAUACAGUGAAGAUUAGCAUGGCCCCUGCACAAGGAUGAUACACACAAAUUGAGAAAUGGUCUAUCCCUAU